This 1268-nucleotide long non-coding RNA is filed under the name Homo sapiens (human). RNAcentral describes it as "HSALNT0337450". The record is from RNAcentral. Lineage: Eukaryota; Metazoa; Chordata; Mammalia; Primates; Hominidae.
AACGUUUCUUCUUUCAAAGAUUAUUUUUACUUUAUUUCUUUUAAGUCUAGUGAUGGCUCUUAGUUUUCCCCUCAAUGAAACCACAGGAUUUUCCAAGUUACACCUUUAUUUUAUGUGCAGUCUUUCAUUGUCUUCUUCAAAGACAGCAAUAUAUGUAACCAAAUAAAAAUCCAUUAGUUAGUUUUUAGGACAAGUGACAUGACUGCUCCUCUGCACUGUCCAUUUAGUUGGAGCUGCAGAUAUACCACAAAACCUCAAAGGAACAUAAUCCAAGCUUUUAAUUUAUAAAAAAAGUAGUCUAUGUAAAUAUAGGUUUUGCAGAUUCUGAGAGGCCUCUGACAACUUUUCGCAAUCAUCUUGAUUAAGUUAUCAAACCCACUGGACUUUCUUAGGAGCACCAGUACAUUUCUUCUGGACCUCUUGAGUUCCCUUCUGAUUCCUGAAUCCUGUCAGGAUUGCUUGGUGUACCCAGUUAAAACCUGCUGUGAUUGCUACAUGGAAAAAUAGCCUGGAUUUUAUGACACCUGUGAAGCAUCAUACUACUUUCUGCAAUUAGUACAGCUGUUGAAUUAACUGAAGAAUCAAUAGAAUAACUCAUGUGGACUGCUCUGAAUUAAAAUUUUGUCUCUCACAGGGGUUCUUCUCUACCAGUGGUGCCUGAUUAUUUAGUAUUGAAGAAGUCACUGUGUUUCACAACAGUUUCCCUUGAUGACCAUUCAAAGUAUAUCCUGCUGCAGUAAUUCUAAACCAAAGGCAGAUCCACAGCUGACCAUCCCUCUCUGGAUAGUGGCAUUCAUGGCAGUCAUAGUGGCCGAAUUCACAUUUUGAAUUGUGUCCCUCCAACAGAUAUAUUGAAGUCCUAACCUCUGGUACCUGUGAAUGUGACCUUAUUUGGCAAUAGUGUCUUCACAGAUGUACUCAAGUUACACAAAGUUCAUACCUAUUUAGAUUGAGCCUUAGUCCAAGAUGACUGGUGGCCUUAUAAGAAGAGAAAAGAGAGGAACAGAUUGAGACACACAGGGAGAAUGCCACAUGAUGACAGAGGUAGAAAUGAGAGUGAUGCAUUUACCUGUCAAGGGGUGCCAAGCAUUGCCAGCAAAACUAGAAGCUAAGAGAGAGAGCCAUAGAAUAGACUUUCCCUUAGAGCCUUCAGAAAGCAUGCCCUGCCAACAACUCAAGUAUUGACUUCUGGCCUCCAGAACUGUGAGAGAAUAAAUAUUGUUUAAGCUACCCUGCUUGUAGUAGUUUUUUUCAGCAGCCUUAGGAAA